RNAcentral lists this ribosomal RNA (253 nucleotides) under uncultured bacterium. Its description in RNAcentral is "partial 16S ribosomal RNA". It matches the Rfam family "Bacterial small subunit ribosomal RNA", at positions 524 to 776 of the family's 1533-position model. The record is from RNAcentral.
UACGUAGGGUGCGAGCGUUGUCCGGAAUUACUGGGCGUAAAGAGCUCGUAGGUGGUUUGUCGCGUUGUUCGUGAAAACCGGGGGCUUAACCCUCGGCGUGCGGGCGAUACGGGCAGACUUGAGUACUGCAGGGGAGACCGGAAUUCCUGGUGUAGCGGUGGAAUGCGCAGAUAUCAGGAGGAACACCGGUGGCGAAGGCGGGUCUCUGGGCAGUAACUGACGCUGAGGAGCGAAAGCGUGGGGAGCGAACAGG